GAUGAGGUGGCUCGGUGGUUAAGGCGAUGGACUGCUAUCCACUGUGCUCUGCACACAUGGGUUCAAAUCCCACCCUCAUUA
RNAcentral lists this transfer RNA (81 nucleotides) under Canis lupus familiaris (dog). It matches the Rfam family "tRNA". Rfam says of the family: Transfer RNA (tRNA) molecules are approximately 80 nucleotides in length. Their secondary structure includes four short double-helical elements and three loops (D, anti-codon, and T loops). Further hydrogen bonds mediate the characteristic L-shaped molecular structure. tRNAs have two regions of fundamental functional importance: the anti-codon, which is responsible for specific mRNA codon recognition, and the 3' end, to which the tRNAs corresponding amino acid is attached (by aminoacyl-tRNA synthetases). tRNAs cope with the degeneracy of the genetic code in two manners: having more than one tRNA (with a specific anti-codon) for a particular amino acid; and 'wobble' base-pairing, i.e. permitting non-standard base-pairing at the 3rd anti-codon position. The record is from Rfam by way of RNAcentral. RNAcentral also lists the same sequence under 2 other names. Lineage: Eukaryota; Metazoa; Chordata; Mammalia; Carnivora; Canidae.